CUGGAAGACCCGCUUUUUCAAGGGCGAAGACCCCACAUUCUUGGAGGGCCUAGCUUUCCUCCGGGCCCAGCUCUACACUCACCUUACGCCUCUUCUCCCCGCGGGAGGUGAGGGGUUGCGGGGUCACAGGAGGAGGCGAGGGCCGGGCCAAUGUUCGUCCUGCCGCCCUACGUCCCCUAGGUCCUGCACCAGGGUUUUGGGGCCAAAGCAAGCAGUGCCUCU
RNAcentral lists this long non-coding RNA (222 nucleotides) under Homo sapiens (human). Its description in RNAcentral is "LHRI_LNC869.1". Lineage: Eukaryota; Metazoa; Chordata; Mammalia; Primates; Hominidae. The record is from RNAcentral.